Molecule: ribosomal RNA, 1135 nt
Filed under: bacterium
Lineage: Bacteria
Description: partial 23S ribosomal RNA
Rfam family: Bacterial large subunit ribosomal RNA
Source: RNAcentral
CAAAAGCUACUCCGGGGAUAACAGGCUAGUAGAGCCCGAGCGUCCAUAGCGACGGCUCUGUUCGGCACCUUAAAUUCGGGGUGCAAGAGUAGAAAUACUCUUCCAAAAAUAUGGCUUAUAACGGUGGAGCCCAACCAUUUUAUGGAAUUUGAAAUUUUCAAUUUGAAAAAGUUAAAUUUGAAAAUGCGGGUAAUACCGUGGGAAGUUGUGUAAUAAUUUAGAAGUGAUAUAAUUUACUCAAAGGUUAUCUUAAAUAAAUUAAAUCAGAACAUGAGAAAUCAAGAAGAGUUUUCUGAAGAGAAAACUAAAAGAGAAAUUGAAGAUGAAAUUAGAAAUGCGAAUCAAUUGGGUUAUUUAAGAAAAGCAAUGAAGGAUCUCUCAGCGCUCGAAGGAACAGAUGAAGAGAAGAAUAAAUGGCUUCAAUUAAUAGAAGUUAUUGAUUCUUGUCAGUUAAUGACAGAAAAAUUAUAUCAAAAUGUAACAGAGGAAAAUAUAGAUCAAUUACUGGAUUUGGAGAAACUCCCAGAAAUAAUGGGAAUAAGAGACUCGAUUAGGAGAAUAAUGUUGGAGGAAAUAGAGAUUAUGAAGAAGCAUAAAUAAAUUAUUACACUAACCCCGUAGAGACUCGACCUUAACUGGUCGGAGUCCUUCAAAAAGAAGGGCUAACACGCCAUCUCCUCCCUUGCACACUUUGCAAGAAGGAUGAAGAUAUAGUCCGAUCCUCUUUGUAAAAAGAGAAAAAUUACCGACAGCGAUGUCGGCUCAACUUAUCCUGGGGGUGGAGCAGCUCCCAAGGGUUCGGCUGUUCGCCGAUUAAAAAGUUACGUGAGCUGGGUUCAAACCGUCGUGAGACAGGUUGGUCCCUAUCUACCGCAGGCGUUGAGUUUUGAGGAGAUUUGAUCCUAGUACGAGAGGACCGGAUUGAACCAACCUCUGGUGUAUCAGUUGUCCUGCCAAGGGCAUUGCUGAGUAGCUAAGUUGGGAAGGGAUAAGCGCUGAAAGCAUAUAAGCGCGAAACCCACUCCAAGAUGAGAACUCUUAGAUUUCCCGUAGAUGACGGGCUUGAUAGGCUCCAGGUGUAAGUGCCGUAAGGCAUUCAGCCGGGGAGUACUAAUAAAUCAUUAUAUUUUUUAGC